Molecule: ribosomal RNA, 398 nt
Filed under: Amphibalanus improvisus
Lineage: Eukaryota; Metazoa; Arthropoda; Thecostraca; Balanomorpha; Balanidae
Description: SSU rRNA
Rfam family: Eukaryotic small subunit ribosomal RNA
Source: RNAcentral
UAAAGAUUAAGCCAUGCAUGUAUCAGUACAAGCCUCACUAAGGUGAAACCGCGAAUGGCUCAUUAAAUCAGUUAUUAUUUACUGGCCGAGACAGUGAUACAUGGAUAACUGUGGUAAUUCUAGAGCUAAUACAUGCAACCGAGCCCCAGUGCCGGCUCUCGGGUCGGCCGGGGCGCUUUUAUUGGCUGAAAACCGAUGAUCGUCCUCGUGGCGAUCGUUCUCCGAUGAAUCACAAUAACAUUGUGUGGAUCGUACGGUCUUGUACCGACGACGCGCCUUUCAAAUAUCUGCCUUAUCAGCUCUCGACGGUUUGCUAGUGGCUGACCGUGGCUCUGACGGGUAACGGGGAAUCUGGGUUCGGUUCCGGAGAGGGAGCCUGAGAGAUGGCUACCACAUCU